GAUGAACGCUGGCGGCGUGCCUAAUACAUGCAAGUCGAGCGAACGGACGAGAAGCUUGCUUCUCUGAUGUUAGCGGCGGACGGGUGAGUAACACGUGGAUAACCUACCUAUAAGACUGGGAUAGCUUCGGGAAACCGGAGCUAAUACCGGAUGAUAUUUUGAACCGCAUGGUUCAAAAGUGAAAGACGGUCUUGCUGUCACUUAUAGAUGGAUCCGCGCUGCAUUAGCUAGUUGGUAAGGUAACGGCUUACCAAGGCAACGAUGCAUAGCCGACCUGAGAGGGUGAUCGGCCACACUGGAACUGAGACACGGUCCAGACUCCUACGGGAGGCAGCAGUAGGGAAUCUUCCGCAAUGGGCGAAAGCCUGACGGAGCAACGCCGCGUGAGUGAUGAAGGUCUUCGGAUCGUAAAACUCUGUUAUUAGGGAAGAACAUAUGUGUAAGUAACUGUGCACAUCUUGACGGUACCUAAUCAGAAAGCCACGGCUAACUACGUG
RNAcentral lists this ribosomal RNA (497 nucleotides) under uncultured bacterium. RNAcentral's name for it is "partial 16S ribosomal RNA". It matches the Rfam family "Bacterial small subunit ribosomal RNA", at positions 28 to 507 of the family's 1533-position model. The record is from RNAcentral.